RNAcentral lists this ribosomal RNA (738 nucleotides) under uncultured bacterium. Its description in RNAcentral is "bacterial SSU rRNA". It matches the Rfam family "Bacterial small subunit ribosomal RNA", at positions 81 to 816 of the family's 1533-position model. The record is from RNAcentral.
UACAUGCUGACGAGCGGCGGACGGGUGAGUAACGCUUGGGAAUCUGCCUGAUAGUGGGGGACAACCCGGGGAAACUCGGGCUAAUACCGCAUACGCACUACGGUGGAAAGCCGGGGACCGCAAGGCCUGGCGCUAACAGAUGAGCCCAAGUCGGAUUAGCUAGUUGGUAGGGUAAUGGCCUACCAAGGCGACGAUCCGUAACUGGUCUGAGAGGACGACCAGUCACACCGGAACUGAGACACGGUCCGGACUCCUACGGGAGGCAGCAGUGGGGAAUAUUGGACAAUGGGCGAAAGCCUGAUCCAGCGACGCCGCGUGGGUGAAGAAGGCCUGCGGGUUGUAAAGCCCUUUCGGUGGGGAAGAAAAGCCUCGAGCUAACACCUCGGGGUCUUGACGUAACCCAUAGAAGAAGCACCGGCUAACUCUGUGCCAGCAGCCGCGGUAAUACAGAGGGUGCGAGCGUUAAUCGGAAUUACUGGGCGUAAAGCGCGCGUAGGCGGCUUUGCAAGUCGGGUGUGAAAUCCCCAGGCUUAACCUGGGAACUGCAUUCGAGACUGCAUUGCUAGAGUAUGGGAGAGGGAAGUGGAAUUUCCGGUGUAGCGGUGAAAUGCGUAGAUAUGCGGAGGAACACCGAUGGCGAAGGCAAUCCCCUGGGCCUGCACUGACGCUCAUGCACGAAAGCGUGGGGAGCAAACAGGAUUAGAUACCCUGGUAGUCCACGCCCUAAACGAUGUCAAC